Manis pentadactyla (Chinese pangolin) is the source of this 558-nucleotide long non-coding RNA. RefSeq lists it as uncharacterized. Lineage: Eukaryota; Metazoa; Chordata; Mammalia; Pholidota; Manidae. The transcript is spliced from 3 exons. The record is from RefSeq and is a predicted model, not a curated record.
CAACAUUUGGGGGCUCGUCCGGGAUCUGCGCUCACCCCGCUUCACUCCCGAAGUCGCUCUUGGAGGAAGAGAGUUUAAAAACUUUUAGUGACUGUUUUUGUAUUCCAUGGCAGUAUGUUUAUUUGCACGAGUUUAGUAAGAAUCUGCUUUCCUUGUGAGAAGACUAAUUAAGAACACUGGUUAUACUGCCAAGGCUUUGGCUGGAAUGUCAUACCUGAGAGACAUGUGCAUGGACUCAGAUGUGAACAACUUUAAAGAACUAAGAUUGACUUUAUAAAGCCAACAAAGCCCCUUAGAAGAACUAGCCUGGUACCUUGCUUGCAGAGUUCCCAGCAGCCUUACCAGAAGCCACAAAACUGCAAAUAGUAAUAGAAACAAAACCCAAGAUAGAAGCGCCAGCCUUCUGAAGCCCUCUCAACUGACCAGUGAUAGAGACCUAGCUGCACCCUUUACUGCGCCCCCCUUCUCAGCACGAAGCAGCCAGAGCGGUCAUCGCCCCUUUUCCCUAGCAGCAGCUAGAGUCUCUACCUGUAGAAGAGAAAAUGAGACAAAGACCAU